CGCAAUUUUAUAAAAUAUUAAAAAAAAAAUCCGAUUUUCGCAAAAUUUCUUUGUCUGCUAAAGAGCUUUUGGGAAAUGGUAUGGAUCAUUCAUUUCUUGUAAAAAAAAUUGUAUUUUAAAAUUCGAAGUGGUGAAAAAGUGUGCAAUGGGGAACUUGUAGCCAUAAAUUUGAAAAAAUUUGUUUAAUUUUCAGCCUGACAGGUAGGAUGAAAGCACAGAAAAUAGAAUUCAAUAUGGACAAAUGCCAAGCACUUCACACAGCAUUUGCUGCCAAAAAAAAAACCAAAUGUAUGUGUUUCAUUCUAUUGCAAUUUUUCAAAAAUUCUGUCAUUAAUCACCAGCCACAAAUGCCAGCGACACAUGUGUACAAGGAUUUAAGGAGAAAUGCUACUGCCAAAGUGAAAAUAAAGCAACUGAAAGCCAACAUAUUCAUACACACCCAUAGCAAGGAAUGUCUCACUAAUUAGUCGAUUAGACUUUGCAUUGUUGGACAACAAAACUCUAUUCACAUAUACACAUGUGUGCGUAUGAAAAACGAAGAGACAUUUGCAAAUAUUUGCACUGUAAACAUGCCAACGUUCUCACAUUCUACUUACUAUACGCCACAGUACUCAAU
Long non-coding RNA from Ceratitis capitata (Mediterranean fruit fly), 616 nucleotides. RefSeq lists it as uncharacterized. Lineage: Eukaryota; Metazoa; Arthropoda; Insecta; Diptera; Tephritidae. The record is from RefSeq and is a predicted model, not a curated record. The transcript has 3 exons.